CCCUUAGAUGUUCUGGGCUGCACGCGUGCUACACUGAUAUUGCCAAUAUGUCAUUCUUAUCCGAAAUGGAUUGGGUAAUCAAGUAAUGAAAUUUCAUGCUUGGAAUCGGUAAUUGCAAUUUUAUCGUGAACGAGGAAUUCCUAGUAAGCACUAGUCAUCAGCUAAUGUUGAUUAUGUCCCUGCCCUUUGUACACACCGCCCGUCGCACCUACCGAUUGAAUGGUUCGGUGAAGAUCUCGGACUUCGAUAUUUAUUCUUUAUUGAGUUUAUAUUGUGGGAAGUUAUCUAAACCUCAUCAUUUAGAGGAAGGUGAAGUCGUAACA
This 323-nucleotide ribosomal RNA is filed under the name uncultured eukaryote. RNAcentral describes it as "partial 18S ribosomal RNA". It matches the Rfam family "Eukaryotic small subunit ribosomal RNA", at positions 1470 to 1796 of the family's 1831-position model. The record is from RNAcentral.